Molecule: ribosomal RNA, 253 nt
Filed under: uncultured bacterium
Lineage: Bacteria
Description: partial 16S ribosomal RNA
Rfam family: Bacterial small subunit ribosomal RNA
Source: RNAcentral
UACGUAGGGUGCAGGCGUUAAUCGGAAUUACUGGGCGUAAAGCGUGCGCAGGCGGUGAUGCAAGACAGAUGUGAAAUCCCCGGGCUUAACCUGGGAACUGCAUUUGUGACUGCAUUGCUGGAGUGCGGCAGAGGGGGAUGGAAUUCCGCGUGUAGCAGUGAAAUGCGUAGAUAUGCGGAGGAACACCGAUGGCGAAGGCAAUCCCCUGGGCCUGCACUGACGCUCAUGCACGAAAGCGUGGGGAGCAAACAGG